Molecule: long non-coding RNA, 802 nt
Filed under: Felis catus (domestic cat)
Lineage: Eukaryota; Metazoa; Chordata; Mammalia; Carnivora; Felidae
Description: lncRNA (ENSFCAG00000041198.2)
Source: RNAcentral
AGAUUGUGCACAUAAUAUGGUCAGAAAUACCAAAUCUUUACUGUAUUCUUUCUGUCUGCUCACUUCUGUGCCAGGUGACUGACAGAUGCAUGCACGACUCUGUCCCUGCUGUUGGCAAACUCCAAAUAGAGCUGGGAGAGCAGAGAAUCUUCUGAGAGGGUCUGGCUUGAAUGGAGAGCACAUGGAAAGCACACGGUUUGGUCUGUGCCAGCGAUGCAGGGAAAAUGCCACAUCCCCAGAGGCCAUCCCUCCAGCACCACUGGCAUCUUAGGCACAGACCCUGGUGUCUUCCUGAGCAAGGACAUGGACAAGAGGGACAUGGAGAAGAAGGGGUUUAUGCAUAAACUUGGCAUAAACAUGGUGGCUGUGUGGAUUAAUGGUCCUUUCUGGGAGAGGAAUAAUCAAACAACUCGAAAUUCAAGGAAUACAAAAGAAUUACACAAAAUCAAGCCCACCUUGGCUCAGAUUCUAGUAUCUUUUGGAAUGUCACAAACUGAAGGUUUGUUUCCUAAUAAGGAGAGGCCUGCUGAUGAAUACUAGAAGAGUUCCUGAGCUUCUCAACAUCCUGCCCAGUUGAAUGAAGAUGCAGGGAUCAGAACUGUCCAGAAUGCGUGCUGACACUCUUCCUUCUGAUCAUCACUAAUCAACCUCAGUAUCAUCUCCAACUGAGCCCAAGUCAGACCUCGGACUUCCUCUCGACACAGAGCCUGGAUGGCACCAUUCACUGGAGUCAGCUCAUGAGAGGUAACUUAUUUGCCAUCUCUGUUUUAAAGACUCAGUAUCAUACUACCAUCACCCUACA